CAGGAUAAAACGACUGCGGCGCACAUAAGAACAUGCAAGUCGAACGAACUUAAUACCUUGCUUGCAAGGUAAGCGGUUAGUGGCGGACUGGUGAGUAACACGUAAGAAAUCUGCCUAUCAGAGGGGAAUAACAGUGAGAAAUCACUGCUAAUACCGCAUAUGCCAUAGUCAUCGCAUGAUGAUAGUGGGAAAGAAGCAAUUCGCUGAUAGAUGAGCUUGCGGCUGAUUAGCUAGUUGUGGGGUAACGGCCUACCAAGGCGACGAUCAGUAGCCGGACUGAGAGGUUGAGCGGCCACAUUGGGACUGAGAUACGGCCCAGACUCCUACGGGAGGCAGCAGUCGGGAAUAUUGCGCAAUGGAGGCAACUCUGACGCAGUGACGCCGCGUAUAGGAAGAAGGUUUUCGGAUUGUAAACUAUUGUCCUCAGGGAAGAAAAAAGACUGUACCUGAGAAGAAAGCUCCGGCUAACUACGUG
This 475-nucleotide ribosomal RNA is filed under the name uncultured Bacillota bacterium. Its description in RNAcentral is "bacterial SSU rRNA". It matches the Rfam family "Bacterial small subunit ribosomal RNA", at positions 32 to 507 of the family's 1533-position model. Lineage: Bacteria; Bacillati; Bacillota. The record is from RNAcentral.